RNAcentral lists this ribosomal RNA (460 nucleotides) under uncultured bacterium. RNAcentral's name for it is "partial 16S ribosomal RNA". It matches the Rfam family "Bacterial small subunit ribosomal RNA", at positions 338 to 795 of the family's 1533-position model. The record is from RNAcentral.
CCUACGGGAGGCAGCAGUGAGGAAUAUUGGUCAAUGGACGAGAGUCUGAACCAGCCAAGUAGCGUGAAGGAUGACUGCCCUAUGGGUUGUAAACUUCUUUUAUAUGGGAAUAAUAUGUUUCACGUGUGGGAUUUUGUCUGUACCAUAUGAAUAAGCAUCGGCUAACUCCGUGCCAGCAGCCGCGGUAAUACGGAGGAUGCGAGCGUUAUCCGGAUUUAUUGGGUUUAAAGGGUGCGUAGGUGGGUUGUUAAGUUAGUUGUGAAAGUUUGGGGCUCACCCGUAAAAAUGCAGUUGAAACUGGCAGUCUAGAGAACAGUAGAGGUGGGCGGAAUUAGUGGUGUAGCGGUGAAAUGCAUAGAUAUCACGCAGAACCCCGAUUGCGAAGGCAGCAUACCGGUGCACAACUGACGCUCAGGCACGAGAGCGUGGGUAUCGAACAGGAUUAGAUACCCCAGUAGUC